AUGAAGGUGGCAGAGAAGGGGGAGAUCUUCAAGAUGAGCACUAAGCCGAGCUCCAUGAAGGAAGCGGAGAAGGGUGAGGUCUUCGAGAGGAACACCAAGUUGAGGUUGGAUAACAAUCCGAAGGCGACGGCAGAGGCGGCCAGCCUAUUCACGGAUGACAUCAUCCUAGAGAUCCUCUCCCGCCUCCCGGCCAGAUCUGUCCACCGCUUCAAGUGCAUCUCUGUGUCCUGGCGCAACCUCAUCGCCGACCCCGCCAACCGCAAGAAGCUCCCCCAAACCCUCGCUGGCUUCCUCUACUUCACCACCGAUGACAGUGGGCAUCACCACCACUUCGCCAGCGUCUCCGGCAGGGCACCCCUGUUCGACCCUUGCCUCCCUUACCUGCAACCUGACAAGUACAAGGACAUGACCCAGGUGGACACCUGCAAUGGCCUCCUUCUCUAUCGCGGUAGCAACAACAAGUUGGUCACUUGCAAUUGGGCAAAGGACGAUUACCGUUUUGUCGUCUGCAAUCCGGUCAACGGGAGGACUCACAAGGAUAGUGGGAUGGUUGAGAAAGUGGCAUUGUUCUAUCUUACUAGAUGUGUAUUUGUCGGCGGCAUGAUGUACUUGAUGGGCAUUCAUAAAGGCAUUAACGAAGAGAAUGUGCUGGUGGGUGUGGACAUGGAGGUGAAAGUGUGGAAGAUUAUCCGUGUGCCGCACAGUUCAAGAGUUGGCACGCUUGGAACAUCGCAGGGGUGCUUACACUUUGCUAUAGCUUCUUCCAUUGAUGAGAUUGAACUCUGGUGCCUCAACGAUUGUGACAGUAAAGAAUUGGUCCUGAAGAAUACCACCAGCAUCGAUAAGCUUACGAGCAUGACUAGGAAGUGGUACGGUGUGGCUGAGAUUCAUCCAGAUUGUGACACCAUUUUCCUGGUUUCAUGGGAAGGUGAUGCCUUGGCAGCUUGA
Molecule: ribosomal RNA, 948 nt
Filed under: Triticum aestivum (bread wheat)
Lineage: Eukaryota; Viridiplantae; Streptophyta; Magnoliopsida; Poales; Poaceae
Description: partial small subunit ribosomal RNA
Source: RNAcentral